RNAcentral lists this ribosomal RNA (254 nucleotides) under uncultured bacterium. RNAcentral's name for it is "partial 16S ribosomal RNA". It matches the Rfam family "Bacterial small subunit ribosomal RNA", at positions 524 to 776 of the family's 1533-position model. The record is from RNAcentral.
UACGUAGGGGGCGAGCGUUGUCCGGAUUUAUUGGGCGUAAAGAGCUCGUAGGCGGUUUGGCAAGUCGGGUGUGAAAACUCCGGGCUCAACUCGGAGACGCCACUCGAUACUGCCAUGACUCGAGUCCGGUAGGGGAGUGCGGAAUUCCUGGUGUAGCGGUGAAAUGCGCAGAUAUCCGGAGGAACACCGGUGGCGAAGGCGGCUUCCUGGACCGACACUGACGCUGAGGCGCGAAAGCUAGGGGAGCAAACGGG